RNAcentral lists this unclassified non-coding RNA (215 nucleotides) under uncultured Parasola. Its description in RNAcentral is "sequence contains ITS2". The record is from RNAcentral. Lineage: Eukaryota; Fungi; Basidiomycota; Agaricomycetes; Agaricales; Psathyrellaceae.
AAUUCUCAACCUCACCUGGUUUUCUAACCUGUGUGAUGGUUUGGACUUGGGAGUUGUGCAGGCUGCAGUCUUCUGCGGUUCUGCUCUCCUUAAAUGUAUUAGCAGGUCUUUUACCUCUAUCCCAAUGGUGUGAUAAUCUAUCUACGCUGCUGGUUUGGAAGACCCUUUACUGGGGAGACCGGCUUCUAACUGUCUGCAAGGACAAAUUUGACCAA